Molecule: ribosomal RNA, 429 nt
Filed under: bacterium
Lineage: Bacteria
Description: partial 16S ribosomal RNA
Rfam family: Bacterial small subunit ribosomal RNA
Source: RNAcentral
UGGGGAAUUUUGGACAAUGGGGGCAACCCUGAUCCAGCCAUGCCGCGUGUGUGAAGAAGGCCUUCGGGUUGUAAAGCACUUUCGGACGGAACGAAAUCGCGCGGGUGAAUAUCCCGCGUGGAUGACGGUACUGUAAGAAGAAGCACCGGCUAACUACGUGCCAGCAGCCGCGGUAAUACGUAGGGUGCGAGCGUUAAUCGGAAUUACUGGGCGUAAAGCGUGCGCAGGCGGCUUCGCAAGUCAGACGUGAAAUCCCCGGGCUUAACCUGGGAAUGGCGUUUGAAACUACGGAGCUGGAGUGUGGCAGAGGGGGGUAGAAUUCCACGUGUAGCGGUGAAAUGCGUAGAUAUGUGGAGGAAUACCGAUGGCGAAGGCAGCCCCCUGGGCCAACACUGACGCUCAUGCACGAAAGCGUGGGGAGCAAACAGG